AUUGAACGCUGGCGGCAGGCCUAACACAUGCAAGUCGAGCGAGCGGCGGACGGGUGAGGAAUGUUUGGGAACCUGUCGGUUGGAGGGGGAUAACUACUGGAAACGGUAGCUAAUCCCGCAUACCAUCCGAUGUGCGCAGAUGGGAUUAGCUAGUGGGUGGGGUAAUGGCCUACCUGGGCGACGAUCCCUAGCUGGUCUGAGAGGAUGACCAGCCACACUGGGACUGAGACACGGCCCAGACUCCUACGGGAGGCAGCAGUGGGGAAUAUUCGGCAAUGGGCGAAAGCCUGAUCCAGCCAUGCCGCGUGUGUGAAGAAGGCCUUCGGAUUGUAAAGCACUGUCGGCAGGGAGGCGUUACCCGACGAAAAAGCACCGGCUAACUCCGUGCCAGCAGCCGCGGUAAUUC
This 406-nucleotide ribosomal RNA is filed under the name uncultured bacterium. RNAcentral's name for it is "partial 16S ribosomal RNA". It matches the Rfam family "Bacterial small subunit ribosomal RNA", at positions 30 to 526 of the family's 1533-position model. The record is from RNAcentral.